Molecule: RNase P RNA, 295 nt
Filed under: Pseudolactococcus raffinolactis
Lineage: Bacteria; Bacillati; Bacillota; Bacilli; Lactobacillales; Streptococcaceae
Description: partial RNase P RNA component class B
Rfam family: Bacterial RNase P class B
About the family: Ribonuclease P (RNase P) is a ubiquitous endoribonuclease, found in archaea, bacteria and eukarya as well as chloroplasts and mitochondria.
Source: RNAcentral
AACAAUAAGCCUAGGUAGGUGUGUCAGACCUAACGGCUGAAUUUUAGCUAAGUUUUCUCACGAAGAUAUGCGACAAAUUCUGUAAAAGUGCCAUAGAGACGAGUUGCUUUGGAAACAAGGCAAGUGGAACGUGGUAAACCCCUCAAGCGAGCAACCCAAACUUAUGGUAGGGGCACUUGUCACGCGGAAUUUGAACGCACGACGAGGCUAUUUUUAGGCAUGCUUAAAAAUAGCAGACAGAUGAUUAUCGAAGGUUGGCUGAACGGUCAACUGGAACAAAACAUGGCUUAUAGAA